CCUGACCCUAGACGCUUUGCAGGUAUAGCUGCUGUGUCACACGUGUGUCAGUAGGUGGCAGAGAGGAGAGAGGCGAGGCUAUGUCUAUGCUCAGUAUUCUGACAUGUGAACAUCUGAAUGAUUAGUAGCCUAAAGU
This is a small nucleolar RNA of Arvicanthis niloticus (Nile rat), 136 nucleotides long. RefSeq annotates it as small nucleolar RNA SNORA17. The record is from RefSeq and is a predicted model, not a curated record. Lineage: Eukaryota; Metazoa; Chordata; Mammalia; Rodentia; Muridae.